Taeniopygia guttata (zebra finch) is the source of this 272-nucleotide non-coding RNA. Lineage: Eukaryota; Metazoa; Chordata; Aves; Passeriformes; Estrildidae. The record is from RefSeq and is a predicted model, not a curated record.
UUCUGCAUGGGUGUGGUGUCUGGGAGAGGAGACCUUGGGAAAGGGCUGCUGCUGUUACUGAGGUGCUGAAUCCCACAGGGGAAUGGUGCAGGGAAUAUAAGAUCUGUCUCCAUGUACCAGAUCCAAUAGGAAAAACCUCACCCUUCAUGCUCACAGAUGCACAGAUGUACUGCAGAGGAAGAAUGUAGCAGGUCUUGAACAGCAACAAAAACCAGGAAAAAGAUCUAUGGCAAGGGGGUUUACCUGAGAAUGAAUUAUUUUCUAUUACAUCA